RNAcentral lists this ribosomal RNA (394 nucleotides) under uncultured Glomus. RNAcentral describes it as "partial 18S ribosomal RNA". Lineage: Eukaryota; Fungi; Glomeromycota; Glomeromycetes; Glomerales; Glomeraceae. The record is from RNAcentral.
GCAGUAGUUAGUCUUCANUAAAUCCAAGAAUUUCACCUCUGACAAUUGAAUACUAAUGCCCCCAACUAUCCCUAUUAAUCAUCACGUCAAUCCUAGAAACCAACAAAAUAGGAUCAACGUCCUAUUUCAUUAUUCCAUGCUAAUGUAUUCAAGCGCGAGCCUGCUUUAAACACUCUAAUUUUUUCAAAGUAACAGUCCUGAUUCCCCACCACACCAAAUUAAUGACAUGAUGGUUCGUCAGAAGGUAGGAACCAGUAACACCAGUACGUACCUAAGGCACGACCGACGUACUAAUCCCGAAAUUCAACUACGAGCUUUUUAACUGCAACAACUUUAAUAUACGCUAUUGGAGCUGGAAUUACCGCGGCUGCUGGCACCAGACUUGCCCUCCAAA